AUCUGGGGGUUUAAAGAGCCGCUCGGUCCGCUGCGGAGAACCGGAGGAUGUGAGGAGGUGAGGAGCUUCGAGAUUUACGUUUUUUGAGGAGGUUUGAGGAGAAACUGAAGAGAAUUCACGGCCUCAGGAUGUGACCUACGGCGGUGGAGAAUACGUCAAAUUCUCCAAGGAGAAGUUCUGGCUGGAGCCGCCGUCAGAGAAGCUGAGGAAGGAACUGGAGGAGGAGCUGAAGCUGAGCGGAGCAG
Long non-coding RNA from Acanthochromis polyacanthus (spiny chromis), 245 nucleotides. RefSeq lists it as uncharacterized. Lineage: Eukaryota; Metazoa; Chordata; Actinopteri; Pomacentridae. The record is from RefSeq and is a predicted model, not a curated record. The transcript has 3 exons.